This 240-nucleotide unclassified non-coding RNA is filed under the name soil metagenome. RNAcentral's name for it is "partial contains 5.8S ribosomal RNA, internal transcribed spacer 2, and large subunit ribosomal RNA". The record is from RNAcentral.
AACCAUAGAAACCUGCGGAGUACCUGCGGAGGGAUCAUUACCGAGUGCGGGUCCGCGUGGCCCAACCUCCCACCCGUGCCUAUUGUACCCUGUUGCUUCGGCGGGCCCGCCAGCCUUCGGGCUGGCCGCCGGGGGGCGUCUCGCCCCCGGGCCCGUGCCCGCCGGAGACCCCAACAUGAACCCUGUUCCGAAAGCUUGGUGUCUGAGUGUGAUUGUUUGCAAUCAGUUAAAACUUUUAAC